Molecule: long non-coding RNA, 2899 nt
Organism: Harmonia axyridis
Lineage: Eukaryota; Metazoa; Arthropoda; Insecta; Coleoptera; Coccinellidae
Exons: 5
Source: RefSeq, a predicted model, not a curated record
UCUUAGACUAUAAGCAACACUGUCUUAUUAAAAGGAACGAUUUCAUUGGGGGAUAUUGGGAUAUGACAACUGACAAGAAGACAUAGAUACAAAAAUGGCGUCGGCGUGACUAUUUCCAUCAUAGCAUAUUAGGUCUAUUUUCUAUUUUGUGUUGUGUGGUUUAGUUUUCCUAUAAAAAUAGAGAGCAAAUAGCGAAGAAGACUAUUGAUGACCAGUGGAAACGAUAGUGGAAGGGGAAUAUUUGGUAACAUCUAGGGGAUUUUCAACAAAGCUACAAUGUCAUGUGGUCACUAUGUCUUGGAACGAUUUCAUUGGGGGAAUUCAUUUCAUGUGACGUUGACAUAACAAUGGCGUCGGCGUGACUAGUUAUGUACCAUGGUUUUGUAGAUUAUACUUGUUUUAAAUAUGAAAAUGGAGAGCAAAUAGUGGAAAAGUCUAUUGUUGACCAUCAGAAACGAUAUUAUGGAAGGUAACUGAACAUACUUCAAUGGAUGUUAUUAUCGGGUGUUAUAAUUGGAGGAAGGAAUGUGGUGGGAUAAUACAAAAAAAACAUCUAGAUAGGUCUUGGAAUAUACAAAGAAUAAGUCUGGUCGAACCUGGGGAGGUAGCUGUUAAAUACCAACAAUUAUUUACUUUACACCCAUGUGGUAACCAUGAACUUUAUGGAUCUGAUUUUCGUUGGAUGUUACCAUCUGGUGUAGUAAUUGUCAUAGGAAUCUGAUAUGGGAUAUUAUAAAAACAAAAAAAACAUACGAUGGUCUUGCACUAUACAGAAGAUAAGUCUGGAUGCAAUCAGAUCAAAAGAAGGCUACUGCACAAAUAUUCAUUUUCUGAUCAUUUGGUAAAUAUGUGAAAAUUAUAGUCAAGCUUGGAAUAAUUCACAAUGAAGAAAAGGAUACAAUAGCAAAAUGUGAGAUGGAAAUGGCUGCGAAAAAUUGUGGAAAGCUUUCCUACAUUACUGCGAAGAAUCCGAAGAAAUUAAAGGUCACAUUCAUACAGGUGAAAUAAUUUAUCAAAUAGAAACAGAGUGUAGCAAUUUUUUAUUAGUUGAAUUAGUAGGCUCUGGAACAGGAAUUUUCUCACUGUUAGUAUUUCUCAAGUCUUGCAACCAUUUGAGUCAUUCUUCAUUUACUAAAAGUUCUAAUUCAUCCUUUAAUUCAAAACUCAUUUUCCAAAUGUCUUAAAAAAAAUCUUGCUCUGAUAGCAUAGUGGCAAAGAAACCCAAGAGGGUAACAAAUUGACUAUCAAUUGAUUAUCAACAUUUUUCUUUAGUAGUUGUUGCUUUCUCUUCUAAAAUUUCCUCAAUUUCCUUGGAUGGACUUUGCUCAAUAACAAUCUUCUUUUUUUAUGGUCCCAUAUAUUAUAUGGAAACCAUCUCUCUUGUGAACCUCUUGGAAACUAGUUAUCAAAUCUAAUACCCAAUCCACAGAACGAUCACUGUCUAAAUAGUGAUCCAUAUAAUAUUGUUCCAUAAUUACCUUUGCUGUCACAAGAAAUUCAUGAUUAUCAUUUUGUCCUUUGAUAGUGGUGUGAAUCAUUCUCUUCAUUAACAGAGGAUCAGUUGAACCUGUAGUUCCCAAAAAUUAGGUUAACUCUUUAUAUUUUUAUAUGUUUAUAAUGGACCUUUCAUAAUAAAGCAGAUGUGGGAACUUCGUUUUUAAGGUUUUUAAAAAUUAUAGGAUCUAUGCGCAAUAAAACUUUCUUUUCUCUUUUUUUUGCAUAUCUCAUUUUUUCUGUGUCAGAAAUUGGUGCUGCCGGGAAUAUUCUGAUUUAGUAAGUCUCAAUGGAAUUUAUUACAACCAUCUUUGUUGCAACUUUUUUCUUUCUACAAUAUCUGAUCCGAUGAUUGUUAUGCAAGCAACAGAAACAAAUUUUAUUUUCCUUGUACCCAUUCUCGUCCGCAGUCUGAAUCUAGCUGCUGGAAGUUACUGCAAGUAGAUGUAGUUCAUUUCAAAGUACAUGCAAUUGAAUUUACUAGUAUGGUUCUACUCACUGGUGGCACAUAUUUUUCUUUCUUCCAAGAUCAGUAUCAGGAUGACUUAUUAUUUUGCUAUCUCACCAAACCACAGAAAUCAGAAAUAUAGAUGUUAUCAGUUUUAACAUUUAGUUCACUCACUUUUUUGUUCUAUUCAAAUUUCAAUGUUGUCGACAACUUGGAAACUAGCUCAGUGAGCUGUGGAUUGAAAAAUUAUGUUGUCACAGUUUUAAACAGAUUCUGAACUGCUAUGAGAGAUCAAUUAUUGGUAGUUCCUUGGGAAUAAACCACCUUCAUAAGAACUUGCUUAUUUUAUCAUCUUGAAAGAAAGUUGAAGGUUAUGAAUGGUUUCUUUCAAGUCUUUAUUACAAUAAGAGAAACUUUGAUUUUCGAAUAUUAGAAAAAUAACAGACAUUUGUAUGAAACUGAAAGUAUUGUCACAUACCCCAAAUUAAAAGAGUAGUCCACAAAUUUUUAUUCUAAAACAUAAAAUACAAAAAUAUGUUAAUAAAAAAAUAUCUUAAGAUAUCCAAGAAUAUUUCUUACAAUUUAUAGUGCCUAUUUGAUUCGAUGGAAUAUAGAAGUUGUUAAAUAAACUCAAAUCACACUUGUAAAAUUGCCGUAGGUAGGAAACUAAUAUUGCUUUUUUUGUUAUUAUGUGAAAAGACUUUCAGAUGAAAUCUCUGUUUUCUGAACAAUACUUCAAGUUUGUAUACCGACAUAAUAUUUCAAAUUGCAUUAUACGUAAAAUAUAAUAAAAUAAAGAAAUGUUCCCAACCUAUAACCUAACCUAUAAGAGUCGAUUUGGAACGUCUUUCAACGUUGUCGACUCCUUAUCACUACACUUUUCGAUCCUUUGCAAUCUUCCUGUCUUAGGUUUUGUUUUAUUUACCCGACCUCAAUAAAUAUAUCGAUUUAAAAUUG